RNAcentral lists this long non-coding RNA (1416 nucleotides) under Junco hyemalis (dark-eyed junco). RNAcentral describes it as "lncRNA (ENSJHYG00000010071.1)". The record is from RNAcentral. Lineage: Eukaryota; Metazoa; Chordata; Aves; Passeriformes; Passerellidae.
CUUCACUGGAUUUCAGGUCCCAAAGAACUGCAAACUGUGACCUACUGAAGGAAGCUCUGCCACUUGUUUCAUGUCUCACUGGCCUCUGAAGUAUUUCAACUCUCCAACAGCUGAAUUUCUUGUGUAUUGUGGUCUGAGUGUGAAAUACCAGCAGAAGUCCUGCGUUACACAAGAAAUGAAGUGACAAUCACAAAAUGCCAUUGAAAUAAAUGUUGAAAGGUACUAACAUGAGUGGAAUCAGGAUUUUGUCCUGCACUCUACAUCAAAGACUCGUCAGCUCUCAUCUAAUUAGCACAGAGCACCACUUUUUCCUUUCCACUUCUGCUGACAACUGAAUGAUCUUCACUGUUGGAAUUAAUUUGAAAAAUGUAUACGUCAAAAUUAUUCCAGAUUCGGCAACAAGAUGAGAUCUGAAUCAGAAUGUACUGUCUGAAUGCAAUACAUAAUAAGAAGAAAUGACAUCUCUGAUCAGGCUACAAGAUAUCCAGACUUAUCUCUGAGACAAAAAUGAGCUGCACUGCUCCUAAAAUACAAAGAAUUGCAAAGCACAAGCAAAUCAGAGGUUCUUCUUUUUCCAAGCCAACACCAGUUUCUUGGAGCUAUUUCUGCUCUCCUGAAUUGUAGAACCUGCAGGACUGAUAUUACAAAUCUAACAAGAAGCAGUUCAUUGGGUUUUUCUGUAUUAAUUCAAAGAGCUUGUAGGGUCUCAAUUACACCAAAGAUAGCUUUCAGACCCCCCACAUAUCUGCAGUCUUUUUGUGGUUUUGGGUAUUUGAGAUUGUGGAAUACUUUGAGGAUGGAAGUGAGAAUAAGGAACUCCCAGCCAUGUGCCUGCUUAAGAACACAGUGCCUGUAAAAAGCCAAGAUAUUCCAUAUACAAGAAUAUUAAUUCCCCAAAAUGUGGCCAGGAAGGAGAUUUGGCUCUAUAAUGGAUUUUAUAUGUACAUCCCUUCUCCUCAGACAUCCUGAGGGCUAAAGGGUACAAAACAGCAGAGAGGAUGAUGAGAUUCAUCUCUUCAAACAUCAUCUAUGUGGCACAGCAGCUGGAACCUCGCUGGCUUGGGCAGCACCUCAGGAGCCCCCAGAGUUCCCCACAGCCUUUUCCCUGCUCCUCCUGCACAAGGACAGCUCAGUGACCACAUCCUGCAGCUCCAUAAGCUGCAUAAUUUGAAAUAAGAGAAGAGGUUUCCCUUCCCAUCAUCCCAGCAUAGAAGGAUGUGAGCAGAGCUGGGUGGCAGGGCAGGGAGCUGAGCUCAGGGUCCUCCUUUACAUUUUUCCCAGCCUCUUUUUCCUGCUCCUUCACCUGUAAAAUGGGAGUGAGCACUGGAGCUGGGAAGGAAAGCAAACAUGAAAAUCAGAUGGGCCAUUGCCAGAACAGCUCCUGAGUAUCAGAAAUUCUCAAUGUGCACACGAGGC